Molecule: ribosomal RNA, 530 nt
Filed under: uncultured Bacillota bacterium
Lineage: Bacteria; Bacillati; Bacillota
Description: bacterial SSU rRNA
Rfam family: Bacterial small subunit ribosomal RNA
Source: RNAcentral
AGAGUUUGAUCCUGGCUCAGGACGAACGCUGGCGGCGUGCCUAAUACAUGCAAGUCGAGCGAAUUUUUGGAGCUUGCUCCUAAAAAUUAGCGGCGGACGGGUGAGUAACACGUGGGCAACCUGCCUAUAGGACUGGGAUAACUUCGGGAAACCGGAGCUAAUACCGGAUAAUUCCUUUCCUCUCAUGAGGAAAGGCUGAAAGACGGUUUACGCUGUCACUUAUAGAUGGGCCCGCGGCGCAUUAGCUAGUUGGUGAGGUAAUGGCUCACCAAGGCGACGAUGCGUAGCCGACCUGAGAGGGUGAUCGGCCACACUGGGACUGAGACACGGCCCAGACUCCUACGGGAGGCAGCAGUAGGGAAUCUUCCGCAAUGGACGAAAGUCUGACGGAGCAACGCCGCGUGAGUGAUGAAGGUUUUCGGAUCGUAAAACUCUGUUGUUAGGGAAGAACAAGUACCGGAGUAACUGACGGUACCUUGACGGUACCUAACCAGAAAGCCACGGCUAACUACGUGCCAGCAGCCGCGGUA